CUAGCCGUAAACGAUGGAUACUAGGCGUUGUGAGUAUCGACCCUCACAGUGUCGUAGCUAACGCGUUAAGUAUCCCGCCUGGGGAGUACGCGCGCAAGCGUGAAACUCAAAGGAAUUGACGGGGGCCCGCACAAGCGGUGGAGUAUGUGGUUUAAUUCGAUGCAACGCGAAGAGCCUUACCAGGACUUGACAUGUCGCGAAUCUCAGGGAAACUUGAGAGUGCCUUCGGGAGCGCGAACACAGGUGGUGC
This 250-nucleotide ribosomal RNA is filed under the name uncultured Chroococcidiopsis sp. RNAcentral's name for it is "partial 16S ribosomal RNA". It matches the Rfam family "Bacterial small subunit ribosomal RNA", at positions 796 to 1044 of the family's 1533-position model. The record is from RNAcentral. Lineage: Bacteria; Bacillati; Cyanobacteriota; Cyanophyceae; Chroococcidiopsidales; Chroococcidiopsidaceae.